GCCUAUUAAUAACUGAGAAAAGGUGUUCCUGGUUUUGCAGCAGCAAAAAUAGAUUUUGGAAAGCAAUUAAUGAUGGUUUUAAUUAGCAAGUAAUGUCUCUGCUUAACACACAAUUUCUUCUCUUACUAAAGGUAUUCUGCUGGUCUUGCUUCUCUUCAGUUUUGUUUGUGAUUCUGCUAGCAGCUUGCAAGUCCAUCCUUCCUAGCCAAUGUUUGCUCUCAGGCUUCCUGUCAGAAGCUGCCAGAAGCUUCUUCCAUGUCCAACAGAGCCAAUGCCAGCCAGUUCCAGGACUGAUGUGCCACUGGUCAAGGCUGGGCCAAUUAGAAACGAUGAGAACCCCUCUGUGAUAACAUAUUUAACAAGGAUAAAGAACAAAAAAGUUAUUGUACAGUAAUUGUGGCCAAAGACAAGUGAGUGAAAAUGUAUGAGAGGAGCAACAGUGUAGAGAAGGAGAGGCAGGAGGUGCUCCAGGACCAGAGGAUUCCUCUGUAGCCUGUGGUGAAGACCAUGGUGAAGCAGCUGUGCCUCUGCAGCCCAUGGAAGGAGAAAGGGAUCCAGAUAUCCACCUGCAGCACAUAGAGAAGCCCCUUGCCAGAGCAGGGGGAUGACUGAGAGGAGGCUGUGAUCCUGUGGUUGCUGGCAGGGACCUGCAGACCCAUGGAGAGAGGGGCCCAUGCUGGAGCAGGUUUCCUGGUAGGAUUUGUGACCCUGUGGGAACCCACACUGGAGCAGGCUGUGCCUGAAGGACUGCACCCCAUGGAAGAGUGACCCACACUGGAGCAGUUUGUGCAGAACUGUUGCCCAUGGGAUGGACUCACACUGGAGAAAUUCUUGAAGAACUGUCUCCUGUAGGAGGCACACUGCACUGGAGAAGGGGAACCUAUGUGGAAUGAACUGACCACAACCUCCAUUCUCUGUCUCCUUGCUCUGCUGGGGGAAGGAACUAGAGCCCGGGAAGGAGGGAAGACGGGGGGGUGGGGGAAGGUGUUUUUAAGAUAUAUUUUACUUUUCAUUAUCCUGCUCUCAUUUAGUUAAUAGUAAGUUCCAUGAAUAUCCCCCAUUUGAGUCUGUUCUGCCUGUGAGGGUAUUUGGACAAUGAACUCUCUGUUCUUAUCUCAACUCAUGAACCCUCUGUUAUUUUUUCUCUACCCUGUCCAGUUGCGAAGGUAAGUGAUAGAGAGGUUUUGGUGGGUGUCUGGUGUCCAGCCAGGGUCAACCCACUACUUAAAAAUAUACGUUUGAUAGGGGGUAUAGGGGGUUAUGUGAGUGUGUCUAUUGUUGUUGCCUCUUCUGUGUUCUUUAUGAGACAAAAUGUUCCUCUUCCAUAUUACAAGUCCCAUCCUCCUGUGACUCCUCCAUGUGCAAAGUGAAAUGUACAAACUCCCAGGGCUUGGGGCAGAGGAACAGUAAGACUUUCCUUUUAUGAUGUGAGAAGAAAUCGUUAGUUAUUAUUUUAUGCAGUAGCUAUAUUCUUUCCCUGAUGUGUUUCAGAUAAUUAAGUGCUGUCUAAAAUGUAAACUAUGGGAUUAGACAGCAGGUGUUUGCUUCAGGUAGUCAUAAACUCUUUUAAAAGGCUUUGAAAUACCAAUAUCAGUUAAAAAGUCUUAGUGGUAAGUAUGCUCCUGUGGAGAUUUAAUGGAAAUUUUCAAUUCAGUGCCUUUGUUCAAAGAAUGAUAUCAGGUUAUCACUCAUCUGUGACAGAAGAUAUUCAACCGGAUGUUCCAAGAAACAUGCAUCCUCUUCUGAAGCCCAUGUGUGUGGACAUGAUUCUCUGAGCCUGAGAGAGUUUUCAGCCUGUCAGUGGCUGAUCUGUUCCCAAAGGAAAGUUUCCUGAGACAUGUUUCUCUCAAGGACUGGUUUUUUGUAAAUAGGUUUUUGGUUCUCAAAACAAUGUUGUACAGAUGUCCUGAGUGUUUUCUUUUGUUCCACCAAUGGGACCAGAGAGGUGUUCCCUUUACCAAUCAUGUUAAACCUGUACAGGAACACCUUAUAAAAGGGGCUGAAAACCCUGAAAUAAAGGCUUCUGCCUUCUUGGGAUGAAACCUCUGCUGCUGUGAUUUGAAUCCACACUUCUAUUUCAUGUCCACUAGUGACACGUGUACUGAAAUUAUACUGUAACACCCUGUGUUGUUUUCAGGACAGCGCUGGUUUUGUGAGAUUCCUCAUUUCCUGCAUGCAUGACAUACCUGCCAAGGAUUCUGCUUGAGGCAAAACAAUCCUGCAUUCGGGUUUUUCAUCUCUUCCUCCAGCAAGCCUUUCCCACAUUUCUUACAAUUUUUGUUGACCCUACUCUUAUCAUGUUAAGUUCUUAUUUUCUUCCUUACUUUCCAUACUUCUAAGGAAAUGUUUUAGCUUUAAAACCAUCUGAAUAAUUGCUAAGAGAAUGAGAAGUUAUUGCAUGUUAAACAUCCAGAUGAAAUGAGUCAGGAACAGAUAUUGUCCGAUGGAAAAGAUCUAAAAUUUGUGAAGUUAUUUAAUUUAGAGAAAUUGUAAUUAAAGAAUUUGAAAGUAAUCAGCUAACAUAAAAUGAAUGCACAAAAUAUGGUACAUCCUUAAUUUUUUCCCAACAUAUGAUGUACAUAAUAGUUUUGACAGUUUGCAAAUUGCUGUUUACUAACUGUUUAAGGAAUAUACAUAUACAAAUAUAUCUAUUAAUUAUUUCCAAGAGCUAGGAAAUAUUUACAGUGAUAUGAUAUUUCACAUGAGCAAUUAUUUCCUUUUUAUCUGUGAUGUUCUCAGAAAAAAUACAUUUCACUCUGGUCUACCUGCUGACUUAGCUGCAAGAUCAUGGUAGAAUAACUGAUCAAUACUAAUGCACAUUUUUGUGACAACACCAUCAGCAAAAAGGAAUCAUAGAUAGUCCCUUAUGAUAUAAAAUGUUGGCUUGGGUACACUUAAGUGAAACUGCAAGUUUAUGAUGGAGUUUCUAAAGUUUUUUAUGUUUUAAUAGCAUAUUGCUUUUUACAGUACUGUUUGGUUUUAGCCCAAAAGGGACAUAAGAAAGAAGACACUUUACACUAUUUUUUAAAACACAUAACAAUUAUGUUGAAGCUUUUGGAAAUUUUCGAGGAGGUUUUGUGGAACACAAAACAGGAUCAAGCAAUGUGGAAAAUAGCCCUUUUAUUGGGAGUAGUUAAUGGAAUUCUGUACAAGUACUUAGUCUGUUUCUUCUUAUUUUCAUCACCUCCUGCGAGGUCCUUUAUGUGAGAUUUAAUUGCAAUGGAGAGGUACUGAAAUGCAGUGCUGGUCUUUUACACAUAGACUGCUACUCAGUGUGUAAUUCUGCAAGAAACAGUAGUAAAAAUAUUUUACUCAUUGUUUUAACUUUCCAGAUAACAACACUGUUAUAAAAUUACAAAGAAAAAUCAGUUUUGUUCCAAUCCACAUACAUUGGUAUGUAAACAUUGGUUUUGGUGUUUUGGUUUUCAUUUUUCCUUUAAGAGCUGGGAAGGAGAGGGGGCUGAGUGAGAGGUGUUUUUGAGGUCUUAUGUUGCUUCUCAUUAUCCUGCUCUGAUUUUGUUAGUAAUAAAUUCCAUUUAUAUCCCCAAGCUGAGUCUGUUUUCCAGUGAUAGCAUUAGGUGAGUGAUGUCUCAUGGUCCUUAACUCGUGAGCCUUUUGUUAAAUUUUC
Long non-coding RNA from Poecile atricapillus (Black-capped chickadee), 3628 nucleotides. RefSeq lists it as uncharacterized. The transcript is spliced from 3 exons. The record is from RefSeq and is a predicted model, not a curated record. NCBI's taxonomy places the organism in Eukaryota, Metazoa, Chordata, Aves, Passeriformes, Paridae.